Molecule: long non-coding RNA, 3890 nt
Filed under: Sorghum bicolor (sorghum)
Lineage: Eukaryota; Viridiplantae; Streptophyta; Magnoliopsida; Poales; Poaceae
Description: long non-coding RNA (SBIC_LNC011446)
Source: RNAcentral
CUGCGGCUGCCGGAGAGGCUUGCGCAUAUCGUACGCGUCCUCCCCAUCGGCGUAGUACUUGGCCUCGAUGUCGUGGAUCUGGUACCCGAGGGUGGAGGUGUAGAGGUUGAAGGCGGCGCGGUUGGAUCGGCGGACGUGGAGGGAGACGUACUCGGCACCGAAGACCUGGUCCAUGGCGGCCUGCGCGGCGGACAUGAGCUUGGUGGCGAGACCGAGCUUGCGGUGAGAGCGGAGGACCGCCAGGGAGGUGAUGUGGCCGUGGCAGGGCUCGGAGGGGUCCUCCUCCAUCUUGGCGAGCACGUAGCCCACGAUGCGGCCGCCGUAGUCCUCGGCGACGAAGAGGAGCUGCGGCCACGACAGCAUGUGGUAGAGGUAGUACUUCAUCUGGUAGUUCUCCGGCAGGCACAUCAGGUUGCACGCCUGCAUCGCCAGCAGGUCGUCGAUGGUCGCCUGCCGGAUGCACACCAUCUUGACCUCCGCCUAAUGCUAACCUCUACUCUCUCCGAUGCGGUGGAUUCGGUGGCUCUCCGGCGAUAGGUCUCGGUGAUGGUGAUGCCGAUGACGGCGGCCGCCUGGCCUCUAUUAAUAUAGGGAGGCUCGGAGAAUUCUUGACCUAACCCUAGAGGGGAAACGGGCCGAAAUAGGCCUGGUGGGCCGAAUGAUUUGUUGCUUACGAACUUUAGUCGUGUUGGGCCCGGCCUAUAAGCAACAACUUCAUGAAAGCCAGGAGCAUCUCCAAUCUUCCCUAAAGAACAAAAAAAAAAGUAUAUAUAAAAACAUUCGAAUAGUUUGAGUGCAACAAACAACAGAUCGAGACAUUAGAAAGGUUGAACCGCAAUUAACAUGUUUCUCGAGACUGCAUGUGACACGAUUACAGAUUUGUGCAUACGAACUGAGAGCAUCUCUAAAAGUUUGAAAACAAAUCAUCAUUUGGAGAGUUAUUGGAAUAAAAAUCAUUCUUUAUAUCUUUUUACCUUCUAACAGUUUUUCUAUAUCUUAUAUGCACUCAAGAAAAUCAAUCCCACUCUUCACUUUGGCUAGCAAGAAAUCUGGAAUAAAUGAUAGCAAUAUUUGGAGCCAAUGGAUGACAUCUUUCUAUUUUUUUAUCAAUAAUAAAGAUAUAAAGAGGGUUUUAGAGUUGCUCUGAGCGGAGAGCAAAAAUUAUAAAAAUAUGAAUGCAUAAAGUUACGCCUGCCCCUCUCUCGGAGUUUGCGUUGAAUCAUGUCGUAACUCUGAGUAGUUAUUAAGAAAGCUGCCGUCACACUAAUUUUAAACUGAAAAUGUAGUUACACCUCUCAAGGCUUCCUCUAAUUUCUGGAAGGACUCAUCUAAGAGACAAGAUUUACAGAUAAUAACACGCUUGUACACUUACUAGUGGCAAAUUCUAGCACCAGUUUCUUCUUGGAGCAGUUUAUUAUCAUUAGGUUGAUGAAUCUGAAACAAUUUUUGCAGCGCCAAAAGGUGGACUACUACCGAAGCAGCAUGUGAAGAUGAUGAAGAGCUAUAUCCAUCAGCAGGGCAUUAUUUUAACACCCGGUAGACCAACGCACGAUUCAAUAUCGAUGGAGGAACUCGAUGGGGUGUUGUCUUUGAAUGUUUGAUCAGAACUAGUUCUUCGUGGGACGGAUGAGCCUUUUUUACGAGAAACAAAUAUAUUAAUAUUAUUAACAGCAAGAAGUUGCAAAGAUGUUUACAUCAAUGGCACAGUGCAUGAAGGAGCGGUGACUCUCUAAUUCUAAAGUAGAGGAGGCAAAAGCCUGUCUAGCUAGGGUAUCUGCUGUAGUGUUAAUUUGCCUGUUGAUUUUGGUGAUUGUUGAAGAUGUUCCUGCAGCAUUGUUGGAGAAGUCCUGAGUAUAAGGCUUGCUUCUCCAAUCAGGAGGGUUGGAGAGGUCAUCCCUGUUUAAGAAGUGCACUUGUUGCUGACAAUCCGAGAGGAAGUUGCAAUUGUGAAUAUUCAUGGCCUGUAUUAUAUUCUGCUGUAUAAAAUCACUAAUCAAAUGAACUGUGAGAACCAGCUUGGAGCACAUGUUUUUACAAACACAAUACCAAUGUCAAGAUAUUGCCAAGUAUAUUUGCUUGCCAUUCCCACUGACUACAAUCUUUGAUCUUCCGGGGAGAGGAAAUUAAGAUGCUUAUAGAAAGUCCAAUGGGCUUGUUGACUCCUCUCUGUAGAUAUGAGUCUGCAAUAUUCAGAAGCUAGUUAAGUACCAAAUUUGAAUUUCAGCUUCAAUAUUUAAAUUGCACAAUGCAGAUCAAGAAUGUCAAAAAACAGAAUCACCUUGCUUUCAUGAAACUUAAAAAAAUGGAACUAAAAGAGAGAAAUAAAACAUAAAGAGCUGAACAUAACAUAGGCAAAUAUUUAAACCAAAACUACAGUGCACAAAAAAAAACUCCUCAGAAAACGCCCAUAAAUUUCAUUUGAAUGUAGGACUCCAACUAGGUUCUCCCUGGCAAGCAGGGACUUGGAGCUUUCUACACCUCACACAUUAGGCAAUUACCAUAAGCAAGAAAAGUUUAAGCACAUUUCUCCAUCCAUGUUGUGCCAAAUAAAAUAAACAUGGACAAUUUCAUUCAAGAACAAUACCCACCAUGAAAAAAAAACACAUAAUGUUGUUAAAUGUUUUGUUCAUAAAGCUCAGUAAAGCCCGUAUAUCUCAUUCCAAUGUAGGACUCCAAGUAGGUUCUCCCUGAAAUUCAGGGACUUGACUCAUCUACAUAUAAUUCAAAGGGCGAUUCGUCAUUACCUAGGAAAAUAUUUUCAUAUCAAUAUUACAGACUUGGCAAAACAACAAAGGGAUUUGAAAGCUGAUGCUAAUCAACUCUUCAUAACAAUAAGUCAAUAAUCAUCGAAUAUUAAAUAAGCUAAGGACAAGCAACUGCAGUGCUAGUUGAUUUAGUGAGAGAUUUUAGAAGCAAUACCACAACAAGAGAUACAAUUUUGAUAUAAAGUUUGUCUUCAUCCGAAUUUAUAUGAAAAAGUUAUAAAUUAUUUUUUGUUUAUAACUAUUAACCGAGACGGACAUUUUAACAUAACCACCACGGUUAAUGAGCUAUUAACCGUGACAAACAUUAUAAGCAACGUAUUAACCGUGGCGGUUACCUUACAAUGCCCGCCACGGUUAAUUAUUAACCGUGGUGGGCUCUCGCCAAGAAAAAACAUGUGGCUACACGAGCUCGAACCGUGGCCAUCCAGCCUCUCGCGCAUUGUCUUUGUCAAUCCAGCUAAAAAAUUUAUUGUCUAUGUUGCAUCCACAAUUCUAUCUAAUAGGGAUAAAGAUAAAAAAUAAUCCCUAAUAAAUUACUUUUUAGUUCUAAACGUUCAGGUAGUUUGGGUAUGGAGAGAGUAAUUAACAUCCAGAGCUCGCAAUGAAAAGCUUACUCUCCGUCAAGUGUGAGCCUUCUUAUCCGGCAAACUAGAAGGCUGAGGAGAAGAACCAGUCGCCGCCGCAGGUGCGUCGUGGGAGCAGCACCCACCGGGGCCGCGUGGUGGUGAUGGUGGUGCUUCUUCGGCUGCGGCUGCCGGAGAGGCUUGCGCAUGCCGAACGCGUUCUCCCCGUCGGCGUAGUACUGGGCCUCGAUGCCGUGGAUCUGGUACCCGACAGUGGAGGUGUAGAGGUUGACGGCGGCGCGGUUGGAUUGGCGGACGUGGAGAGAGACAUACUCGGCGUCAAAGACCUGCUCCAUGGCAGCCUGCGCUGCGGACAUGAGCUUGGUGGCGAGCCCGAGCUUGCGGUGGGAGCGGAGGACCGCGAGGGAGGUGAUGUGGCCGUGGCAGGGCUGGGAGAGGUCCUCCUCCAUCUUGGCGAGCACGUAGCCGACGAUGCGGGCAUGCGGCCGCCGUAGUCCUCGGCGACGAAGAGGAGCUGCGGGCACGACAGCAUGUGGUAGAG